UUACGGUCAAAUCACGCUGAAACACCGGUUCUCGUACGAUCACCGAACUUAAGCCACGUAGAGCCAGGUCAGUACUUAGAUGGGGGACCGCUUGGGAACACCUGGUACUGUAA
Molecule: ribosomal RNA, 113 nt
Filed under: Acanthosepion pharaonis
Lineage: Eukaryota; Metazoa; Mollusca; Cephalopoda; Sepiida; Sepiidae
Source: RNAcentral